AGAGUUUGAUCCUGGCUCAGAAUCAACGCUGGCGGCGUGCCUAACACAUGCAAGUCGAACGAGAAAGCGGGGGCAACCCCGUGAGUAAAGUGGCGACCGGGUGAGUAACACGUGACUAACCUGCCCUUGAGUGGUGGAUAACCUCGGGAAACCGGGGCUAAUACCGCAUAACAUCCUGUGGGUGCAAUUCCCGUUGGAUCAAAGGAGCAAUUCGCUGAAGGAGGGGGUCGCGGCCGAUUAGCUAGUUGGUAGGGUAAUGGCCUACCAAGGCGACGAUCGGUAGCCGGCCUGAGAGGGCGCACGGCCACACUGGAACUGAAACACGGUCCAGACUCCUACGGGAGGCAGCAGUGGGGAAUUUUGCGCAAUGGGGGAAACCCUGACGCAGCAACGCCGCGUGGAGGAUGAAGUCCCUUGGGACGUAAACUCCUUUCGACCGGGAAGAUAAUGACGGUACCGGUGGAAGAAGCCCCGGCUAACUUCGUGCCAGCCGCCGCGGUAAUAC
RNAcentral lists this ribosomal RNA (505 nucleotides) under uncultured bacterium. RNAcentral's name for it is "bacterial SSU rRNA". It matches the Rfam family "Bacterial small subunit ribosomal RNA", at positions 8 to 526 of the family's 1533-position model. The record is from RNAcentral.